Molecule: ribosomal RNA, 692 nt
Filed under: Salmonella enterica subsp. enterica serovar Infantis
Lineage: Bacteria; Pseudomonadati; Pseudomonadota; Gammaproteobacteria; Enterobacterales; Enterobacteriaceae
Description: partial 23S ribosomal RNA
Rfam family: Bacterial large subunit ribosomal RNA
Source: RNAcentral
UUUGAAGCGUGGACGCCAGUCUGCGUGGAGCCGACCUUGAAAUACCACCCUUUAAUGUUUGAUGUUCUAACGUGGAUCCGUAAUCCGGGUUGCGGACAGUGUCUGGUGGGUAGUUUGACUGGGGCGGUCUCCUCCUAAAGAGUAACGGAGGAGCACGAAGGUUGGCUAAUCCUGGUCGGACAUCAGGAGGUUAGUGCAAUGGCAUAAGCCAGCUUGACUGCGAGCGUGACGGCGCGAGCAGGUGCGAAAGCAGGUCAUAGUGAUCCGGUGGUUCUGAAUGGAAGGGCCAUCGCUCAACGGAUAAAAGGUACUCCGGGGAUAACAGGCUGAUACCGCCCAAGAGUUCAUAUCGACGGCGGUGUUUGGCACCUCGAUGUCGGCUCAUCACAUCCUGGGGCUGAAGUAGGUCCCAAGGGUAUGGCUGUUCGCCAUUUAAAGUGGUACGCGAGCUGGGUUUAGAACGUCGUGAGACAGUUCGGUCCCUAUCUGCCGUGGGCGCUGGAGAACUGAGGGGGGCUGCUCCUAGUACGAGAGGACCGGAGUGGACGCAUCACUGGUGUUCGGGUUGUCAUGCCAAUGGCACUGCCCGGUAGCUAAAUGCGGAAGAGAUAAGUGCUGAAAGCAUCUAAGCACGAAACUUGCCCCGAGAUGAGUUCUCCCUGAGACUUUAAGUCUCCUGAAGGAACGUUGAA